UAAUACAGAGGUGGCAAGCGUUGUUCGGAAUUACUGGGCGUAAAGGGCGCGUAGGCGGUCUUAUAAGUCUCGUGUGAAAUCCCUCGGCUUAACUGAGGAACUGCACGGGAUACUGCAAGACUUGAGAUCGGGAGAGGGAAGCGGAAUUCCGGGUGUAGCGGUGAAAUGCGUAGAUAUCCGGAGGAACACCGGUGGCGAAGGCGGCUUCCUGGACCGACACUGACGCUGAGGCGCGAAAGCUAGGGGAGCAAACGGGA
Molecule: ribosomal RNA, 257 nt
Filed under: uncultured bacterium
Lineage: Bacteria
Description: partial 16S ribosomal RNA
Rfam family: Bacterial small subunit ribosomal RNA
Source: RNAcentral